RNAcentral lists this transfer RNA (73 nucleotides) under Camelus bactrianus (Bactrian camel). It matches the Rfam family "tRNA". Rfam says of the family: Transfer RNA (tRNA) molecules are approximately 80 nucleotides in length. Lineage: Eukaryota; Metazoa; Chordata; Mammalia; Artiodactyla; Camelidae. RNAcentral also lists the same sequence under 2 other names. The record is from Rfam by way of RNAcentral.
AGGGGUUUAGCUCAGCGGUAGAGCGCCCUGCUUAGCAUGCAUGAGGUCCUGGGUUCAAUCCCCAGUACCUCCA